RNAcentral lists this ribosomal RNA (497 nucleotides) under uncultured bacterium. RNAcentral describes it as "partial 16S ribosomal RNA". It matches the Rfam family "Bacterial small subunit ribosomal RNA", at positions 28 to 507 of the family's 1533-position model. The record is from RNAcentral.
GACGAACGCUGGCGGCGUGCCUAAUACAUGCAAGUUGAGCGCUGAAGGUUGGUACUUGUACCAACUGGAUGAGCAGCGAACGGGUGAGUAACGCGUGGGGAAUCUGCCUUUGAGCGGGGGACAACAUUUGGAAACGAAUGCUAAUACCGCAUAAAAACUUUAAACACAAGUUUUAAGUGUGAAAGAUGCAAUUGCAUCACUCAAAGAUGAUCCCGCGUUGUAUUAGCUAGUUGGUGAGGUAAAGGCUCACCAAGGCGAUGAUACAUAGCCGACCUGAGAGGGUGCUCGGCCACAUUGGGACUGGGACACGGCCCAAACUCCUUCGGGAGGCAGCAGUAGGGAAUCUUCGGCAAUGGACGGAAGUCUGACCGAGCAACGCCGCGUGAGUGAAGAAGGUUUUCGGAUCGUAAAACUCUGUUGGUAGAGAAGAACGUUGGUGAGAGUGGAAAGCUCAUCAAGUGACGGUAACUACCCAGAAAGGGACGGCUAACUACGUG